UCCAAAAAUACAUCCAUCUCUUCUAGGCCUUCUGAUUUGUUUGCAUAUAGUUGCUUGUAAUAGUUCCUAAUAAUUUUCUGUAUGUCUGAGGUAUUUGUUGUUAUAUUUCCUCUUCAU
This is a long non-coding RNA of Ochotona curzoniae (black-lipped pika), 117 nucleotides long. RefSeq lists it as uncharacterized. NCBI's taxonomy places the organism in Eukaryota, Metazoa, Chordata, Mammalia, Lagomorpha, Ochotonidae. The record is from RefSeq and is a predicted model, not a curated record. The transcript has 3 exons.